UUUAUUUUCUUGCUCAAAUCGUCCUGAGCUUUGGCCAUUGGGAACUGUUUCAGGUUGGCUCCUGUGUCCUUUUGACAUCCCCAAGCUCAUUUUUCCUGUCCCAGCCCCAAAGAGCCAUAGAAUUGAGAAACCAAGAUCUGGACACUAGUUGUGUUUAUUGAUGCUGGGUGUCAUUACUUCUAGGCCCUGUCAUCUGACACAGCAAGGAAAUAUAUGUGUGUAUUCUAAUACAUGUAUGCACACAUAUCUAUGUAUUUUUCUGAAUCUGGCUACCUGCAUGCAUAUGUACGAAAAUAUAUUAAAAUACAGAUAUAAAAUAAACAUAAGUUUAUACUGGUAUCUCUUACUGUAAUUCAGCAGCAUAGGGGACAUUCUAGCCUUCUCGUCUUGCACAUUUGUAACUCCUUCCUCUAAGUUGUAUUUAUUUGUUCAACUCUAGUAUAUAUUGCUAACCAGAAGCCCUGAAGAAAAAAAUUUACCAACUUAGGGAUUUCAGAUUAGUAAUCAGAGAUGCUAAGCAAAUGCUAAUACAGGCAUACCAAUAAACAACUGGGACUCUUCCUGGCAAGGGGAACUGAUUAAUAAAAUGGGUGCAAACAUUAAUUGAUGGUGUAAAUUAAGAAUCAAAUCCCUGUUUUAAACAUGUUAUACACACAGUGCAAUCAAGAAAAGCAUUUAACCAAAUUUGUUCAUGAAUUCCAUUGUGUGCUGUUGAAUAGCUAAUUUAUAAUUGCAUUUGUCUGUAAAAUAAUCUAUUAAUAAAAUUGGAGAAAAUUGG
RNAcentral lists this long non-coding RNA (778 nucleotides) under Homo sapiens (human). RNAcentral's name for it is "HSALNT0310817". Lineage: Eukaryota; Metazoa; Chordata; Mammalia; Primates; Hominidae. The record is from RNAcentral.